Molecule: ribosomal RNA, 865 nt
Filed under: uncultured bacterium
Lineage: Bacteria
Description: bacterial SSU rRNA
Rfam family: Bacterial small subunit ribosomal RNA
Source: RNAcentral
AGAGUUUGAUCAUGGCUCAGGAUGAACGCUGGCGGUAUGCUUAACACAUGCAAGUCGAACGGUCUCUUCGGAGAUAGUGGCGGACGGGUGAGUAACGCGUGAGAAUCUAGCUUCAGGUCGGGGACAACCACUGGAAACGGUGGCUAAUACCGGAUGUGCCGAAAGGUGAAAGAUUUAUUGCCUGAAGAUGAGCUCGCGUCUGAUUAGCUAGUUGGUGUGGUAAGAGCGCACCAAGGCGACGAUCAGUAGCUGGUCUGAGAGGAUGAUCAGCCACACUGGGACUGAGACACGGCCCAGACUCCUACGGGAGGCAGCAGUGGGGAAUUUUCCGCAAUGGGCGAAAGCCUGACGGAGCAAUACCGCGUGAGGGAGGAAGGCUCUUGGGUUGUAAACCUCUUUUCUCAGGGAAUAAAAAAAUGAAGGUACCUGAGGAAUAAGCAUCGGCUAACUCCGUGCCAGCAGCCGCGGUAAUACGGAGGAUGCAAGCGUUAUCCGGAAUGAUUGGGCGUAAAGCGUCCGCAGGUGGCACUGUAAGUCUGCUGUUAAAGAGCAAGGCUCAACCUUGUAAAGGCAGUGGAAACUACAGAGCUAGAGUACGUUCGGGGCAGAGGGAAAUCCUGGUGUAGCGGUGAAAUGCGUAGAGAUCAGGAAGAACACCGGUGGCGAAAGCGCUCUGCUAGGCCGUAACUGACACUGAGGGACGAAAGCUAGGGGAGCGAAUGGGAUUAGAUACCCCAGUAGUCCUAGCCGUAAACGAUGGAUACUAGGCGUGGCUUGUAUCGACCCGAGCCGUGCCGGAGCUAACGCGUUAAGUAUCCCGCCUGGGGAGUACGCACGCAAGUGUGAAACUCAAAUGAAUUGACGG